RNAcentral lists this ribosomal RNA (882 nucleotides) under Staphylococcus sp. M_A_09/11_3_1. RNAcentral's name for it is "bacterial SSU rRNA". It matches the Rfam family "Bacterial small subunit ribosomal RNA", at positions 21 to 873 of the family's 1533-position model. The record is from RNAcentral. Lineage: Bacteria; Bacillati; Bacillota; Bacilli; Caryophanales; Staphylococcaceae.
CGCUCAGAUGAACGCGGGCGGCGUGCCUAAUACAUGCAAGUCGAGCGAACAGACGAGGAGCUUGCUCCUCUGACGUAGCGGCGGACGGGUGAGUAACACGUGGAUAACCUACCUAUAAGACUGGGAUAACUUCGGGAAACCGGAGCUAAUACCGGAUAACAUGUUGAACCGCAUGGUUCAACAGUGAAAGACGGUCUUGCUGUCACUUAUAGAUGGAUCCGCGCCGCAUUAGCUAGUUGGUAAGGUAACGGCUUACCAAGGCAACGAUGCGUAGCCGACCUGAGAGGGUGAUCGGCCACACUGGAACUGAGACACGGUCCAGACUCCUACGGGAGGCAGCAGUAGGGAAUCUUCCGCAAUGGGCGAAAGCCUGACGGAGCAACGCCGCGUGAGUGAAGAAGGUCUUCGGAUCGUAAAACUCUGUUAUUAGGGAAGAACAAAUGUGUAAGUAACUAUGCACGUCUUGACGGUACCUAAUCAGAAAGCCACGGCUAACUACGUGCCAGCAGCCGCGGUAAUACGUAGGUGGCAAGCGUUAUCCGGAAUUAUUGGGCGUAAAGCGCGCGUAGGCGGUUUUUUAAGUCUGAUGUGAAAGCCCACGGCUCAACCGUGGAGGGUCAUUGGAAACUGGAAAACUUGAGUGCAGAAGAGGAAAGUGGAAUUCCAUGUGUAGCGGUGAAAUGCGCAGAGAUAUGGAGGAACACCAGUGGCGAAGGCGACUUUCUGGUCUGUAACUGACGCUGAUGUGCGAAAGCGUGGGGAUCAAACAGGAUUAGAUACCCUGGUAGUCCACGCCGUAAACGAUGAGUGCUAAGUGUUAGGGGGUUUCCGCCCCUUAGUGCUGCAGCUAACGCAUAAGCACUCCGCCUGAGACCCGACUGG